GCUUCUUCAUUCAUUGCAUAAAUAUUUUUUUUACAAACUUCUCUGUGUCUGGGCACAGUCCUAAAUGCUGCACACAGUGAACAAAAGGAAGAUACUGUCUUCAAGUUCAUGGUUAAAUUUGGAGAGACAGACAGCAAGCAAGUAAACCAUGGUCAGCUCUCCCUGAUUACCAGGAAGUCGUCCCACUGAACUAGCAGCAACUCUUAUCACAAUAAACUUAUCUUUCUUUCCACCCCACUGUGAAUCUGGAAAAUUCUUUUUCCAACCAGGGCACACAGAUCACAUACAGGGACUUAUGUCCCCCCAACCUUUUCCCUUCGGUGAACAGGCAAGAGCUUUGGAAGCAAUGGAGGAAUUCUGGCCAGGGACACACUCUGGUAUCUUCUGAAGACUCCACUGCUCUCUUCAUCUUAGUAACUGCUGCCUGAAUGAGUGAAGUUUCCUCUUUUCUUUUUUCCUCCUAACUGGGGACCAGGCCAACUGAUAUCGUGCAGGCAUGGGACAGGAGAUCUAAGAGCCAUUAGCGUGCGUGCCUGCCACUUGAAGACUCCCACGAGAGGAUAAGGAGAUAAUGGAACAGAUUAGGCUAUCAGAACAUUUGCCUUCAUCAAGACAACGUCUGUGCAACGUGAGGCACAUGGUGGUUAAAGCCAAUGUCCCCAGCCUCCGCCUCCCCAUUAGGACUAUAAGGUGGAAUCCCCAGCCCUGUCUUCCUGUUACUUUCACUUUGCCUCCCUUGACCUAGCUGGGCCUUGAGGGAACCUGCCACUCCUGAGUCAUCCUGAAAGUUCCUUCCGCGUCCCAGAGGAUCUCGGCCUGAAUACAACAAAUAAGUCUUGAAAUGAUAAUGCGACAGGAAUAUCAACUAGUCAACACCCAGACAACGUUGGGACAAGGCUCCUUCCUCUUCAGAAAUGCCCUGACAGCACGCAGAGGGAACCCAGGGUCCUACAAUGCCCCCCUUCAGCAGCAAGCAACCAUAGCAGUCUCACCCCUUUGCCCUUAUCUGGGUGCCCACACACCAUAGAGGGAAAUAGGAAGGUAUUUAGGCAUGAGCAGGGUAUUCAAAGGGGCCAAAGACUUGGCCCUCAAGAAAAAAAGUGGGGGAGGGAUGUGAGACUUCAAGAUCCCUUCAAGGAGAUAGAACUCAAAGUCUCUGGCCAAGACAAGAAUUACCAGACCCUCCUCAUUGCCCCACCCAUCUCGAUGUAAUGCCCACUCCCCCACCUUGAGCAACCUGGCUACUCCUUCCUAGCCCCCUAGUAGGAAGAAUAUGUGGCUCAUUCCUUACCCUGCCCCUAUGGGAGCCUUAUACACCCCCAACUAACCAGCAAGUGUAUCAUAGGACGCUUCUUUCCCAAACCAAUCAGCAGUUCAGUACGUGUAUGCUAAGACCUCUGCUCUCUCCUGGGCUAUAAAAACGGACACGACACGACCAAGCUCAUGGUUGGCCCUCCCUGAUUAUCAGGAAGUUGUCCCACUGCACUAGCAGUGUCUCUUAUCUCAAACUUAUCUUUCUUUUCACCCCCACCUCCAAGCCAAGUAAACCAUUCGUCCUAUACAGAGUAAGUACAAUUAUUAGCCUCAUUUUUUUUUUUUUUUUGUCUUUUCUAGGGCUGCUUCCCAUAGCAUGUGGAGGUUCCCAGGCUAGGGGUCGAAUCAGAGCCAUCGCCUCCAGCCUAUACCAGAGCCACAGCAACACGGGAUCCGAGCCAAGUCUGCAACCUACACCACAGCUCACAGCAACGUUGGAUCCCCAACCCACUGAGCAAGGCCAGGGAUUGAACCCGCAACCUCAUGGUUCCUAGUCGGAUUCAUUAACCACUGCGCCACAACGGGAACUCCUAGCCUCAUUUUUUAAAUGAGGAAACUGAGGCAUAGCGAGGUGGAGGGAUUUGCUCAGUCCCACAGCUGGGAAGCAACAGAGACAAAUUCCAGUGCAGGCUGUUUGGCUCCAGAAGCCACACCCUCCACUUCUACGCUGUUCUGCCUCUCCAGUGACGGCCUCACAAGAUUCUCAUGAGAAUCUAAUGAGAGAAAUGUAUUAAAGCAGUUUGCAAACUAUAAAGCACUGCACACCCACUGGUGCUGAUGGUGUGUCUGGCCAGGAUGUGCUGAGACAAUGACUGUGGCGGGGAAGUGAAUUCCAGUCUCCUGCUCACCAUGAGGCCAGGGUCCUUUCAGCAAUGGGGUUCUCUGAGAUGCUCCUGAUAUGAGUGGUGAGAGGCUGGGGGAUGUGCAAAAUAAUGAAUUCGGCUUCCUUCAUGGUGGCUCAGGUGUCCCUCGGAGAUACAGUCCGAAACAUUACCUUGCUCUUCACCAUGUUUUUAUUUUGGGGCAUCAUCCUGUAGGAAGAAAAGUCCUGUGGGCAGGGUGACUAAGGCUGGUGAGUCAUGCACCCUGCCAGCCUCCUCUGUGUACCAGCAUCCAUCUGCCGAGGUAACGACGGGAGAACAUGUGCCCACCUGCACCGGGGGCGAGGGCUCGGGGUAGGGAAGCUAGGACUUCCCUUCAGACAGGGCAGAUGGUUGCCACUUAACGAAGGCUCCCUCUAGUUACUCAUAGAACACCCCCUAUGUGCACGCACAAAAAGGGCUCCUGCCUCAAAGAGGUGCUUAUCAGACCUUAAGGGUGUGCAACAGGCUGAAGGAGUGCCUAAAUAAGGAUAAAUAACAGAUUACAUUUGCAAAACACUCUACAGUUUACAAACCGUUGUCACGUAUAGCAGUUCAUGUAAUCCUCCCAAAAGAUGAAGAGGUGGGUGUCACUAGAAUCCCAUUACAUAAAUAAGAAAACCAAUGCUCAGAGAACUAAUGUCAUCUUUGCAAGAGUUCACAGCUAAUUAAGAACUUUGAAUAUUUUUUUCUUCUUUUUAGGACUGCACCCACAGCAUAUAGAAAUUCCCAGGAAAGGAGUUCCCAUCGUGGCUCAGUGGUUAACGAAUCCAACUAGGAACCAUGAGGUUGCGGGUUCGAGCCCUGCCCUUGCUCAGUGGGUUAGGGAUCCGGCAUUGCCGUGAGCUGUGGUGUAGGUCGCAGACUCGGCUCGGAUCCUCGCGUUGCUGUGGCUCUGGCGUAGGCUGGUGGCUACAGCUCCGACUGGACCCCUAGCCUGGGAACUUCCAUAUGCUGCCGGAACGGCCCAAGAAAUG
This 3151-nucleotide long non-coding RNA is filed under the name Sus scrofa (pig). RNAcentral describes it as "lncRNA (ENSSSCG00000063390.1)". Lineage: Eukaryota; Metazoa; Chordata; Mammalia; Artiodactyla; Suidae. The record is from RNAcentral.